CAUGGGAACUCGGAGUGUUGUGUCCUACACCGCGAUCAUCCAGGGCUGCAACACGAACGGGCGAGCUGAACUUGCUCUGGAGUACUACUCUGCCUUGAGAGCUUGUACCACCAUUCAACCCAACAAUCGGACUCAUGUCGCGGUGAUCAGCACCUGCUCCACACUUGCUACCGAAUCCAGCGAGAAGAGGGAGAGAGCUCUACGCAUCGGGAUGGAGAUCCAUUCAAUGCUGAGCAAGGAGAAGAAACAGCUAGAUCUGUUCGUGGCGACUUGCCUGGUAGACAUGUACUGCAAGUGUGGCGAGCUUGAGGAGGCUCGCAAGAUUUUCCACUCCAUGGGAACUCGGAGUGUUGUGUCCUACAACGCGAUCAUCCAGGGCUGCGGCUCGAACGGGCAAGCUGAACUUGCUCUGGAGUACUACUCUGCCCUGAGAGCUUGUACCACCAUUCAACCCAACGAUCGGACACAUGUCGCGGUGAUCAGCGCCUGCUCCAGACUUGCUACCGAAUCCAGCGAGAAGAGGGAGAGAGCUCUACGCAUCGGGAUGGAGAUCCAUUCAAUGCUGAGCAAGGAGAAGAAACAGCUAGAUCUGUUCGUGGCGACUUGCCUGGUAGACAUGUACUGCAAGUGUGGCGAGCUUGAGGAGGCUCGCAAGAUUUUCCACUCCAUGGGAACUCGGAGUGUUGUGUCCUACAACGCGAUUAUCCAGGGCUGCGGCUCGAACGGGCAAGCUGAACUUGCUCUGGAGUACUACUCUGCCCUGAGAGCUUGUACCACCAUUCAACCCAACGAUCGGACACAUGUUGCGGUGAUCAGCGCCUGCUCCAGACUUGCUACCGAAUCCAGCGAGAAGAGGGAGAGAGCUCUACGCAUCGGGAUGGAGAUCCAUUCAAUGCUGAGCAAGGAGAAGAAACAGCUAGAUCUGUUCGUGGCGACUUGCCUGGUAGACAUGUACUGCAAGUGUGGCGAGCUUGAGGAGGCUCGCAAGAUUUUCCACUCCAUGGGAACUCGGAGUGUUGUGUCCUACACCGCGAUCAUCCAGGGCUGCAACACGAACGGGCGAGCUGAACUUGCUCUGGAGUACUACUCUGCCUUGAGAGCUUGUACCACCAUUCAACCCAACAAUCGGACUCAUGUCGCGGUGAUCAGCACCUGCUCCACACUUGCUACCGAAUCCAGCGAGAAGAGGGAGAGAGCUCUACGCAUCGGGAUGGAGAUCCAUUCAAUGCUGAGCAAGGAGAAGAAACAGC
This 1250-nucleotide long non-coding RNA is filed under the name Selaginella moellendorffii. RNAcentral describes it as "long non-coding RNA (SMOE_LNC002373)". The record is from RNAcentral. Lineage: Eukaryota; Viridiplantae; Streptophyta; Lycopodiopsida; Selaginellales; Selaginellaceae.